AGCGAACGCUGGCGGCAGGCCUAACACAUGCAAGUCGAACGGAUCCUUCGGGAUUAGUGGCGGACGGGUGAGUAACACGUGGUAACGUGCCCUUUGGUUCGGAACAACUCAGGGAAACUUGAGCUAAUACCGGAUGUGCCCUUCGGGGGAAAGAUUUAUCGCCAUUGGAGCGGCCCGCGUCUGAUUAGCUAGUUGGUGAGGUAACGGCCCACCAAGGCGACGAUCAGUAGCUGGUCUGAGAGGAUGAUCAGCCACACUGGGACUGAGACACGGCCCAGACUCCUACGGGAGGCAGCAGUGGGGAAUCUUGCGCAAUGGGCGAAAGCCUGACGCAGCCAUGCCGCGUGAAUGAUGAAGGUCUUAGGAUUGUAAAAUUCUUUCAGCGGGGACGAUAAUGACGGUACCCGCAGAAGAAGCUCCGGCUAACUUCGUG
This 433-nucleotide ribosomal RNA is filed under the name uncultured bacterium. RNAcentral's name for it is "partial 16S ribosomal RNA". It matches the Rfam family "Bacterial small subunit ribosomal RNA", at positions 29 to 507 of the family's 1533-position model. The record is from RNAcentral.